Molecule: transfer RNA, 70 nt
Filed under: Dipodomys ordii (Ord's kangaroo rat)
Lineage: Eukaryota; Metazoa; Chordata; Mammalia; Rodentia; Heteromyidae
Rfam family: tRNA
About the family: Transfer RNA (tRNA) molecules are approximately 80 nucleotides in length. Their secondary structure includes four short double-helical elements and three loops (D, anti-codon, and T loops).
Source: Rfam by way of RNAcentral
GGGAAUGUGGCCUAGUGGUAAAGUGUUUGCCUAGCAUGCAAGAAGCCCUGGGUUCAAUUCCUCAGUACCA